GGAUAGGUACUUGAGCAUCUUCAUCAUUGCUUGGUUUAUUUGGUAGAAGACUCGCGUGUGCUCCAUUUAUGUUAUUUGCAUCUCUUGUGCCAUAGACCUGGGAUAUGGAACAUUUUUGUCAGACAGAGUAUGGAAUCUGAGUUCCAAGUUUUCCUGGUGAAGGAGGUUUCCCUGCAGGGAUUUGUGGUUGAAAUUUAGUAGCCUGAAUGAGGAACAGAUAGCAAAAUACUUGGAAGCGAGUUGGAUCAAUCCUAUGAAUAAGCAUGUAAGAAGUGAACCUUUUUUGUGCGGACACCGCGGAGACUCAUUUCCAAUUGGUUCUCCAAAUUCCGCAAUUCUUUGAUGCUCAAGCCUGAGAGUUCUUCUCCCAUCAUUUGCCUGUCAGCAUCGUGCGUAAGUAUAGUUAGCCUAGUGAGUCUAUCAUCUGACCAAUGUCUUAGAUUUUUGUGGAGUUGAAUAUGAAAUGAAAUCAAAGACUCAUAGAUACAAAUCUGUAACUCAGAGGUUUCUCAGGGUCUGCAAAACGAAGCUUUUGAUUUUACAACCCUUAAGUUCAGUUUACACUAAUUGCUAUUCUUUAUGGAAACAUAGUUUAUAAAGCAACAGGCUCAUGGCUCAUUUUCUUCCCAUGAUGCGGAUGACGACUGCCUCAUCUGCAACUGUUCCAUUACCCUAUGUGCUGCCUGUCCUUCCCUUCUUGUGAAACAUAUGAUGUUGAGCUCUGCCACAAUUCAAAUUCGUUUUUUUUUUUUUUUUUUUGGGGGGAGGGGGUGUGGCACGGUUGCGUGCUUUUUAGAAAUGUUCCACAAUUUAAAUGAAGUUGUGAGGCCUUUAACUGAACUGGAUCCUUCCACCUAGCGCUGGAAUUCCAGGAUCUGAAGACCUACCUUGGGAUGGCAAAGGAGUUUAGGCCAUGGAACCUUUAGGAAAAAAUAAAAAAAAUUUGGACCUCCGUCAAAUGCAUGAAUGAGUUUCCUAUUACCCCCUUGGCUUGCGUGCAUUUAUUAGUGCUAAAGUCGUGCCUUUUGAAAUGCCCAGAGAUUUGUAAGAUCGGAAUGCGGAAUGCAGAAGCGGUGAGUUGUUUUCAAGUGUUCUUUCUUGUUUUUGGUCGUGGAGAUGCGUAAGGGGUAGAAAACUUAAUAUGUCCUUUCCUUUAGCAAAUCCAAUGAGGAUGCAUUUGCAAGAGAAGCAUGACAGCCUGGAUGCUUAAGAGUAAUAUCUAAUGCAGUGAGGGAAAGACAUGCUACAUAUCAAAACCGUUGUGAAGGGUUUUCUAAUAAACAAUAAUAUAGCUUUGAAAAAUCGUGUUCUAUGUAAUGUCAUGCCAGAGACAUCAUUAUUUAUUACUUCGAUGUAUGAUUCUUUGUCCAGAUACUAAUGUUCACCUUAUGUUACUGUAAUGUUUUUCGUUAGCAGAAAAGCUAUCUGUCGUAUCCAGGCACCAUGGAAGCAUUGCUAUAAGAAAUGUGAAGAAAAUGCUUGAGAAGAGAAGAUGCACCGGUGGUUUUCUUGGAGAUGCUGCAGUUGUUGCCUUAAUAUUGCUGCUUCCCUCUGCCAAUACUGCGGAACAAAACUUGCAUAAGUUAGUGAUACGCCGGGAUUUGGGCAGUCGAAAUGUUUGAUAACGUCGUGUGCUAGAAAGGGGAUAGUGUAUAUAUGGUGUAUAUAUGGAAACGCAUGGUCGUUUGAUAAAUCAAAAGUCUCUCCAGGCAACUACAGAACACAUUCUCUUACAGGAUACCACUAGCUUGAAUCGUUAA
Eucalyptus grandis is the source of this 1760-nucleotide long non-coding RNA. RefSeq lists it as uncharacterized. The transcript has 3 exons. NCBI's taxonomy places the organism in Eukaryota, Viridiplantae, Streptophyta, Magnoliopsida, Myrtales, Myrtaceae. The record is from RefSeq and is a predicted model, not a curated record.